RNAcentral lists this ribosomal RNA (455 nucleotides) under uncultured bacterium. Its description in RNAcentral is "bacterial SSU rRNA". It matches the Rfam family "Bacterial small subunit ribosomal RNA", at positions 923 to 1379 of the family's 1533-position model. The record is from RNAcentral.
GCACAAGGGUGGAGCAUGUGGUUUAAUUCGACGCAACGCGAAGAACCUUACCUGGGCUCGAAAUGUAGUGGAAUCCGGCAGAAACGUCGGCGUCUAGCAAUAGACCGCUAUAUAGGUGCUGCAUGGCUGUCGUCAGCUCGUGUCGUGAGAUGUUGGGUUAAGUCCCGCAACGAGCGCAACCCUUAUCUUCAGUUGCUACCAUUUAGUUGAGCACUCUGACGAAACCGCCUCGGAUAACGGGGAGGAAGGUGGGGAUGACGUCAAGUCCUCAUGGCCUUUAUGUCCAGGACUACACACGUGCUACAAUGGCCGGUACAAACCGCUGCAAACCCGCGAGGGGGAGCUAAUCGGAAAAAGCCGGCCUCAGUUCGGAUUGGAGUCUGCAACUCGACUCCAUGAAGCUGGAAUCGCUAGUAAUCGUGGAUCAGCAUGCCACGGUGAAUACGUUCCCGGGC